Molecule: ribosomal RNA, 274 nt
Filed under: uncultured bacterium
Lineage: Bacteria
Description: partial 16S ribosomal RNA
Rfam family: Bacterial small subunit ribosomal RNA
Source: RNAcentral
AUACAGAGGGUGCGAGCGUUAAUCGGAAUUACUGGGCGUAAAGCGCGCGUAGGCGGCUUAUUAAGUCAGAUGUGAAAUCCCCGGGCUCAACCUGGGAACUGCAUCUGAUACUGGUAAGCUAGAGUUUGGGAGAGGGAAGUAGAGUUUCAGGUGUAGCGGUGAAAUGCAUAGAGAUCUGAAGGAAUACCAGUGGCGAAGGCGACUUCCUGGCCUAAAACUGACGCUGAGGUGCGAAAGCGUGGGUAGCAAACGGGAUUAGAAACCCUAGUAGUCC